UCUUGAAGACUGGAUGCUAAAACCAUACAUGUAUGAAGCAGCAGAAGAAUAGCCAUUCAGACCAAUAUUUCAACUCAGUGAUUAACUUUAAGGCAAAUAGCCACCAUAAAGAAUAAGAAUACAUCAGAGCAGCUUGGAGAAAAUGAAAAGCAAUAAAUAAAAAAUAGUAAUAAAAGGCUCACAGUGAAUGGCAUCUCAAAUUUCUUAAUCUUGAAGUCCAGCUAAAAUUAAAAGUAAAUACCUGAAUCAACCAAUGACUAGAAAG
RNAcentral lists this unclassified non-coding RNA (265 nucleotides) under Hevea brasiliensis (rubber tree). Lineage: Eukaryota; Viridiplantae; Streptophyta; Magnoliopsida; Malpighiales; Euphorbiaceae. The record is from RNAcentral.